AUUUAAGUCGGGAAAGUUUUUCGCUAAGAGAUCGGUCUAUAUCCCAUCAGUUAGUUGGUAAGGUAACGGCUUACCAAGGCAAUGACGGGUAGCGGGUUUGAGAGGAUGAUCCGCCACACUGGUACUGAGACACGGACCAGACUCCUACGGGAGGCAGCAGUGAGGAAUAUUGCACAAUGGAGGAAACUCUGAUGCAGCAACGCCGCGUGGAGGAUGACGCAUUUCGGUGUGUAAACUCCUUUUAUCAAGGAAGAAAAUGACGGUACUUGAUGAAUAAGCACCGGCUAACUCCGUGCCAGCAGCCGCGGUAAUACGGAGGGUGCAAGCGUUACUCGGAAUCACUGGGCGUAAAGGACACGUAGGCGGGAUGCCAAGUCUGAUGUGAAAUCCUAUGGCUUAACCAUAGAACUGCAUUGGAAACUGGUAACCUAGAGUAUGGGAGGGGGAGAUGGAAUUAGUGGUGUAGGGG
Molecule: ribosomal RNA, 469 nt
Filed under: uncultured bacterium
Lineage: Bacteria
Description: bacterial SSU rRNA
Rfam family: Bacterial small subunit ribosomal RNA
Source: RNAcentral